This 773-nucleotide long non-coding RNA is filed under the name Pongo abelii (Sumatran orangutan). RNAcentral's name for it is "lincRNA". Lineage: Eukaryota; Metazoa; Chordata; Mammalia; Primates; Hominidae. The record is from RNAcentral.
AUUCGCUUAGGGGGGAAAACGCCGCAGAAAGGGAAUUUGCUUCAAAGAUUUGUUCCUCUUCCUGGUGCACUCAGAUGCGCAUUCCUGAGCAGGGGCACCUUCGCCAGCGGCGUUUGAGGGGAGCGAGGACCGCGCAGCGCCCCUUCGGGGAGAGACGUGACCAGGAGUCGCGUUAGGACUGCAAAGGCUGGCUCUGGCGGGGCUUUCCGGUCGCCGGGCCCUCAAUGUGGGGUUUGGGACGGGACGAGAAGGGGGUGUGCCUUGCGGAUCGCUUCUUUCCCCCCGGACCCAAACAGUCCACGCGAGGCCACAGUCCCCUCUCCCCUCCCCCGAGUUGUAAAAAGGAGGAGGGGCCGCCUCCGAGGACAAACCCGAGUCGGGCGGAGGGGGCCGAGUGACGGCGGGAGGAAGGACCGACCCCUCGGAGGAAGGGCCCGAAGCAGGGAGAGCGGGGAACCCGGGCUCAGGCCACCCCGCCCGCGCGCAUGGCCUGGAGUCUGGGGAGCUGGGGUGACUCUAGCGAGGUUUUAAGGAAACGAAGACGGCGUUGGGGAGACUGGUUCUAGAAGUAACCUGAGACCGAGCGCCCAGGAACACUCUGUACGACGCGCCGGGCGUCUCAGUGGCCCCGUGUGCCUUGGUUCUGCGGCGUGUGGCCUUUCGGGAUCCCAUCUUCGUUGCAGAAGCAACCAUUUGAUCCUCCAUUUAGAAUCUGCGUAGAAAUGUUUAAAUGCGUCUUAGAAACCAGGCUAAUUAAAGAGUUUUCAAAACAC